Molecule: ribosomal RNA, 446 nt
Filed under: uncultured bacterium
Lineage: Bacteria
Description: partial 16S ribosomal RNA
Rfam family: Bacterial small subunit ribosomal RNA
Source: RNAcentral
CCUACGGGAGGCAGCAGUCGAGAAUCAUUCACAAUGGGGGAAACCCUGAUGGUGCGACGCCGCGUGGGGGAAUGAAGUUCUUCGGAUUGUAAACCCCUGUCAUGUGGGAGCAAAUUAAAAAGAUAGUACCACAAGAGGAAGAGACGGCUAACUCUGUGCCAGCAGCCGCGGUAAUACAGAGGUCUCAAGCGUUGUUCGGAAUCACUGGGCGUAAAGCGUGCGUAGGCUGUUGCGUAAGUCGUGUGUGAAAGGCGCGGGCUCAACCCGCGGACGGCACAUGAUACUGCGAGACUAGAGUAAGGGAGGGGGAACCGGAAUUCUCGGUGUAGCAGUGAAAUGCGUAGAUAUCGAGAGGAACACUCGUGGCGAAGGCGGGUUCCUGGACAUUAACUGACGCUGAGGCACGAAGGCCAGGGGAGCGAAAGGGAUUAGAUACCCUAGUAGUC